This 1700-nucleotide long non-coding RNA is filed under the name Heterocephalus glaber (naked mole-rat). RNAcentral's name for it is "lncRNA (ENSHGLG00000041632.1)". Lineage: Eukaryota; Metazoa; Chordata; Mammalia; Rodentia; Bathyergidae. The record is from RNAcentral.
GGACCUUGUGCUUGAGCAGCAGGCGCCAGAACCACUGAGCUAAAUCCCGGCCCAGGGCUUUUUGUUAUUGUACAGUACUGAGAAUUGAACCUAGGACCUCAGGCUUGCUAGGCAAGCACUCUGCCACUGAGUCAUAUCACCAGCCCUCUUCAGGGUAAAUGAAACUUAGCAGCAUGAAGACUUUGAGGGCAUUUGGUAUAAAUCUUGUCAUAUCUACUUAAAAUGCUUUUGCUUUCUUUCCAUUUUCUGCACAUUUAAAGGCCAUCCUUCUUAAAGGAUAUAAACAAGACCCUUCCUGAUCUGAUUGUAGCUUACCUCUCCGCCAUAGGUAUUCCUUUAAUGGUCCUUCUCAUGCCUGUAGUCCCAGUGCAUCCCUCAGCUGAUAACUCUUAUGCCCAGCUUCAGCACAGCUUCCCAUCCCUGUUGCCUAGUGGACUUCACUUCAGACAUGUUAAACUUGUUAUAAUUGGAGGGUGGGGAGGGAGGAUUGAACUUGGAGUCAGGAAACUGAUUCUUCUACUUUCCUAUUUGACUUUGGACAAUUCACUUCACCUCUCAAGUCUCCUUCCCCCAGUGGAAAUAAUUACAUAAGUAAUACAAACUGCUGCUUAGGGUUGGUUAGAGGAGUAAAUGAGUUAAUAUAUACUAAAGAACUUUGCAUUACUACAGCAAACAUUAUUGAAACAUUUUUCUUUUCCAGUGUUAUCACUUAGCAGUUAUUGGUUAGUUAGCACUGAGUAAGUAAUGGCAUUUACCAUUCACGAGGCUCUAUAAUCACCUUGUUGGGGUUCAUGUCUAACAGUUUUUACGGUGUGUGAUGAUUGACAAGUUAUCAGCCACUCUGUUCCUCAUUUUCUUCAUCUGUAAAAUGAAGCUAAUAAAAUCUUCUUUUAAGUCAUUAUGAAGAUAACCCAAGUUAAUAAUUAGCAUGUGAAACAGAGUACUUAAUAAGCACUGAAUCAAUGUGAAGUUUCAUUAUUAGCUCAGAAUCAGAAUCUAUCUUUCAUACUUUGUAGUAGUGUGGUUUAUUGUGAUGUCACUGUCUGACUUAGGUGACAGUGAUUUUCUAAAGGGCAAAGACUAGGUUUAAUGCACCUUUGUGUUCUUAGUGCCACAUAUACUUUGAUAUACAGAAAAAGGUCACUGGCCAGAAGAACAAGAACAAGAAGAAGGUAGCUCUUGAAAUCAAAAGUUAACAACAGACUUUUAAAAAGACUCACAGAAAUUAAUUUUAUGGUUCCAGCGUGAAUGUUUUCAUAGAACACUUCAAGGCUUGUAAUCACUGCUGCCAAACAUUUGGAAUCAACUACAAGUACAUAAAACUGAAAAAUGAUCUUAAACUAUCAAUGCAUCAUGUCAGAUUUUAAUUUGUAGGUGAAAACUGUACAAUGGAUAAAACACUUACUGCUAUUUCUGUAGUUGAAUCCAGAGAGAUACUUUUUUUGGUACCAGGGAUCUUAGGACCUCGCGCUUGCCAGGCGGGCACUAUGCCGUUGAGCUAAAUCCCCGGCCCAGAGAGAUACUUCUUAUAGAAGAACAAAACCUUAUGGUAAAUAACACCCAAAUGUGGUGAACUCUUAAGCAUUUUUCCCUUCAAGUGUGAAGGAAAGUGUGAUAUAUGCCAUGGAGAGGCAUCUGGAACACAAUUUAAAAUAAAGCCUUAAGAUUGCUCUUCUACUCCUUCACACACAGUUAUUUAU